Molecule: ribosomal RNA, 207 nt
Filed under: uncultured bacterium
Lineage: Bacteria
Description: partial 16S ribosomal RNA
Rfam family: Bacterial small subunit ribosomal RNA
Source: RNAcentral
UGCGUAGGUGGCGCCGUAAGUCGGGCGUGAAAUUUCGGAGCUUAACUCCGAAACUGCAUUCGAUACUGCGGUGCUUGAGGACUGGAGAGGAGACUGGAAUUCAUGGUGUAGCAGUGAAAUGCGUAGAGAUCAUGAGGAAGACCAGUGGCGAAGGCGGGUCUCUGGACAGUUCCUGACACUGAGGCACGAAGGCCAGGGGAGCAAACG